CUACGGGAGGCAGCAGUGGGGAAUAUUGCACAAUGGGCGCAAGCCUGAUGCAGCCAUGCCGCGUGUAUGAAGAAGGCCUUCGGGUUGUAAAGUACUUUCAGCGGGGAGGAAGGGAGUAAAGUUAAUACCUUUGCUCAUUGACGUUACCCGCAGAAGAAGCACCGGCGAACUCCGUGCCAGCGGCCGCGGUAAUACGGAGGGUGCAAGCGUUAAUCGGAAUUACUGGGCGUAAAGCGCACGCAGGCGGUUUGUUAAGUCAGAUGUGAAAUCCCCGGGCUCAACCUGGGAACUGCAUCUGAUACUGGCAAGCUUGAGUCUCGUAGAGGGGGGUAGAAUUCCAGGUGUAGCGGUGAAAUGCGUAGAGAUCUAGAGGAAUACCGGUGGCGAAGGCGGCCCCCUGGACGAAGACUGACGCUCAGGUGCGAAAGCGUGGGGAGCAAACAGGAUUAGAUACCCGUGUAGUC
This 464-nucleotide ribosomal RNA is filed under the name uncultured bacterium. Its description in RNAcentral is "partial 16S ribosomal RNA". It matches the Rfam family "Bacterial small subunit ribosomal RNA", at positions 339 to 795 of the family's 1533-position model. The record is from RNAcentral.